This 426-nucleotide ribosomal RNA is filed under the name uncultured bacterium. RNAcentral describes it as "bacterial SSU rRNA". It matches the Rfam family "Bacterial small subunit ribosomal RNA", at positions 917 to 1345 of the family's 1533-position model. The record is from RNAcentral.
GGACCCGCACAAGCGGUGGAGCAUGUGGUUUAAUUCGAUGCAACGCGAAAAACCUUACCUACUCUUGACAUACUUGGAAGCUCUUGUAAUGAGAGUGUGCUUUUAGAGCCAAGAUACAGGUGCUGCAUGGCUGUCGUCAGCUCGUGUCGUGAGAUGUUGGGUUAAGUCCCAUAACGAGCGCAACCCUUACCCUUAUUUGCCAGCGGUUCGGCCGGGAACUAUAAGGGGACUGCCGGUGACAAACCGGAGGAAGGUGAGGACGACGUCAAGUCAUCAUGGCCCUUACGAGUAGGGCUACACACGUGCUACAAUGGGGAAUACAGACGGACGCUAAAGCGUGAGCUGGUGCUAAUCCUAAAAAAUUUCUCGUAGUCCGGAUUGCAGUCUGCAACUCGACUGCAUGAAGUCGGAAUCGCUAGUAAUCGC